ACUCAAAGGAAUAGACGGGGGCCCGCACAAGCGGUGGAGCAUGUGGUUUAAUUCGAUGCAACGCGAAAAACCUUACCUGGGUUUGACAUCCCCUGACAGGUGUAGAGAUACGCUUUUCUCUUCGGAGACAGGGAGUACAGGUGCUGCAUGGCUGUCGUCAGCUCGUAUCGUGAGAUGUCGGGUUAAGUCCCUUAACGAGCGCAACCCUUAUCCCUAGUUGCCAUCAUUUAGUUGGGCACUCUAUGGAGACUGCCGGUGUUAAACCGGAGGAAGGCGGGGAUGACGUCAAGUCCUCAUGGCCCCUAUGUCCAGGGCUACACACGUGCUACAAUGGCCGGUACAGAGGGUUGCCAACCCGCAAGGGGGAGCUAAUCUCAGAAAGCCGGUCUCAGUUCGGAUUGGAGUCUGCAACUCGACUCCAUGAAGCUGGAAUCGCUAGUAAUCGCAGAUCAGCACGCUGCGGUGAAUACGUUCCCGGGCCUUGUACACACCGCCCGU
Molecule: ribosomal RNA, 498 nt
Filed under: uncultured bacterium
Lineage: Bacteria
Description: partial 16S ribosomal RNA
Rfam family: Bacterial small subunit ribosomal RNA
Source: RNAcentral